GAUGAACGCUGGCGGCGUGCCUAAUACAUGCAAGUCGAGCGAACGGACGAGAAGCUUGCUUCUCUGAUGUUAGCGGCGGACGGGUGAGUAACACGUGGAUAACCUACCUAUAAGACUGGGAUAACUUCGGGAAACCGUAGCUAAUACCGGAUAAUAUUUUGAACCGCAUGGUUCAAAAGUGAAAGACGGUCUUGCUGUCACUUAUAGAUGGAUCCGCGCUGCAUUAGCUAGUUGGUAAGGUAACGGCUUACCAAGGCAACGAUGCAUAGCCGACCUGAGAGGGUGAUCGGCCACACUGGAACUGAGACACGGUCCAGACUCCUACGGGAGGCGGCAGUAGGGAAUCUUCCGCAAUGGGCGAAAGCCUGACGGAGCAACGCCGCGUGAGUGAUGAAGGUCUUCGGAUCGUAAAACUCUGUUAUUAGGGAAGAACAUAUGUGUAAGUAACUGUGCACAUCUUGACGGUACCCAAUCAGAAAGCCACGGCUAACUACGUG
Molecule: ribosomal RNA, 497 nt
Filed under: uncultured bacterium
Lineage: Bacteria
Description: partial 16S ribosomal RNA
Rfam family: Bacterial small subunit ribosomal RNA
Source: RNAcentral